UGCAAGUCGAGCGAAUGGAUUAAGAGCUUGCUCUUAUGAAGUUAGCGGCGGACGGGUGAGUAACACGUGGGUAACCUGCCCAUAAGACUGGGAUAACUCCGGGAAACCGGGGCUAAUACCGGAUAACAUUUUGAACUGCAUGGUUCGAAAUUGAAAGGCGGCUUCGGCUGUCACUUAUGGAUGGACCCGCGUCGCAUUAGCUAGUUGGUGAGGUAACGGCUCACCAAGGCAACGAUGCGUAGCCGACCUGAGAGGGUGAUCGGCCACACUGGGACUGAGACACGGCCCAGACUCCUACGGGAGGCAGCAGUAGGGAAUCUUCCGCAAUGGACGAAAGUCUGACGGAGCAACGCCGCGUGAGUGAUGAAGGCUUUCGGGUCGUAAAACUCUGUUGUUAGGGAAGAACAAGUGCUAGUUGAAUAAGCUGGCACCUUGACGGAACCUAACCAGAAAGCCACGGCUAA
RNAcentral lists this ribosomal RNA (464 nucleotides) under Bacillus sp. (in: firmicutes). RNAcentral's name for it is "bacterial SSU rRNA". It matches the Rfam family "Bacterial small subunit ribosomal RNA", at positions 56 to 500 of the family's 1533-position model. The record is from RNAcentral. Lineage: Bacteria; Bacillati; Bacillota; Bacilli; Caryophanales; Bacillaceae.